UGGGGAAUUUUGGACAAUGGGCGAAAGCCUGAUCCAGCAAUGCCGCGUGUGUGAAGAAGGCCUUCGGGUUGUAAAGCACUUUUGUCCGGAAAGAAAUCCUUGGCUCUAAUACAGUCGGGGGAUGACGGUACCGGAAGAAUAAGCACCGGCUAACUACGUGCCAGCAGCCGCGGUAAUACGUAGGGUGCAAGCGUUAAUCGGAAUUACUGGGCGUAAAGCGUGCGCAGGCGGUUUGCUAAGACCGAUGUGAAAUCCCCGGGCUCAACCUGGGAACUGCAUUGGUGACUGGCAGGCUAGAGUAUGGCAGAGGGGGGUAGAAUUCCACGUGUAGCAGUGAAAUGCGUAGAGAUGUGGAGGAAUACCGAUGGCGAAGGCAGCCCCCCUGGGCCAAAUACUGACGCUCAUGCACGAAGGCGUGGGGAGCAAAACAGGAUUAGAUACCCUGGUAGUCCACGCCCCUAAAACGAUGUCAACUAGUUGUUGGGGAUUCAUUUCCUUAGUAACGUAGCUAAACGCGUGAAGUUGACCGCCUGGGGAGUACGUCGCAAGAUUAAAACUUAAAGGAAUUGACGGGGUCAUAGCUG
RNAcentral lists this ribosomal RNA (584 nucleotides) under uncultured bacterium. RNAcentral describes it as "partial 16S ribosomal RNA". It matches the Rfam family "Bacterial small subunit ribosomal RNA", at positions 355 to 932 of the family's 1533-position model. The record is from RNAcentral.